CGUGAGCAACCUACCGAUUUCUGGGGGAUAGCCGGCCCAACGGCCGGGUAAUACCGCAUACGCUCUCUGAGAGGAGUCUCUUGGGGAGGAAACCUCCGGGGGAGAUCGAGGGGCUCGCGGCCUAUCAGCUAGUUGGCGAGGUAACGGCUCACCAAGGCGAUGACGGGCAGCUGGUCUGAGAGGAUGGCCAGCCACAUUGGGACUGAGAGACGGCCCAGACUCCUACGGGAGGCAGCAGUGGGGAAUCUUGCGCAAUGGCCGAAAGGCUGACGCAGCGACGCCGCGUGCGGGAGGAAGCUCUUCGGGGUGUAAACCGCUGUUGCCCGGGACGAAACGCCAUUUGCGAAUGGCUUGACGGUACCGGGUGAGGAAGCACCGGCUAA
This 383-nucleotide ribosomal RNA is filed under the name uncultured bacterium. Its description in RNAcentral is "bacterial SSU rRNA". It matches the Rfam family "Bacterial small subunit ribosomal RNA", at positions 116 to 500 of the family's 1533-position model. The record is from RNAcentral.